RNAcentral lists this ribosomal RNA (483 nucleotides) under uncultured bacterium. RNAcentral describes it as "partial 16S ribosomal RNA". It matches the Rfam family "Bacterial small subunit ribosomal RNA", at positions 30 to 507 of the family's 1533-position model. The record is from RNAcentral.
AUUGAACGCUGGCGGCAGGCCUAACACAUGCAAGUCGAGCGGAUGAAGGGAGCUUGCUCCUGGAUUCAGCGGCGGACGGGUGAGUAAUGCCUAGGAAUCUGCCUGGUAGUGGGGGAUAACGUCCGGAAACGGGCGCUAAUACCGCAUACGUCCUGAGGGAGAAAGUGGGGGAUCUUCGGACCUCACGCUAUCGGAUGAGCCUAGGUCGGAUUAGCUAGUUGGUGGGGUAAAGGCCUACCAAGGCGACGAUCCGUAACUGGUCUGAGAGGAUGAUCAGUCACACUGGAACUGAGACACGGUCCAGACUCCUACGGGAGGCAGCAGUGGGAAUAUUGGACAAAGGGCGAAAGCCUGAUCCAGCCAUGCCGCGUGUGUGAAGAAGGUCUUCGGAUUGUAAAGCACUUUAAGUUGGGAGGAAGGGCAGUAAGUUAAUACCUUGCUGUUUUGACGUUACCAACAGAAUAAGCACCGGCUAACUUCGUG